This 497-nucleotide ribosomal RNA is filed under the name uncultured bacterium. Its description in RNAcentral is "partial 16S ribosomal RNA". It matches the Rfam family "Bacterial small subunit ribosomal RNA", at positions 28 to 507 of the family's 1533-position model. The record is from RNAcentral.
GAUGAAUGCUGGCGGCGUGCCUAAUACAUGCAAGUCGAGCGAACGGACGAGAAGCUUGCUUCUCUGAUGUUAGCGGCGGACGGGUGAGUAACACGUGGAUAACCUACCUAUAAGACUGGGAUAACUUCGGGAAACCGGAGCUAAUACCAGAUAAUAUUUUGAACCGCAUGGUUCAAAAGUGAAAGACGGUCUUGCUGUCACUUAUAGAUGGAUCCGCGCUGCAUUAGCUAGUUGGUAAGGUAACGGCUUACCAAGGCAACGAUGCAUAGCCGACCUGAGAGGGUGAUCGGCCACACUGGAACUGAGACACGGUCCAGACUCCUACGGGAGGCAGCAGUAGGGAAUCUUCCGCAAUGGGCGAAAGCCUGACGGAGCAACGCCGCGUGAGUGAUGAAGGUCUUCGGAUCGUAAAACUCUGUUAUUAGGGAAGAACAUAUGUGUAAGUAACUGUGCACAUCUUGACGGUACCUAAUCAGAAAGCCACGGCUAACUACGUG